This 456-nucleotide ribosomal RNA is filed under the name Streptococcus cristatus. RNAcentral describes it as "bacterial SSU rRNA". It matches the Rfam family "Bacterial small subunit ribosomal RNA", at positions 28 to 472 of the family's 1533-position model. The record is from RNAcentral. Lineage: Bacteria; Bacillati; Bacillota; Bacilli; Lactobacillales; Streptococcaceae.
GACGAACGCUGGCGGCGUGCCUAAUACAUGCAAGUAGAACGCUGAAGGAGGAGCUUGCUCUUCUGGAUGAGUUGCGAACGGGUGAGUGACGCGUAGGUAACCUGCCUGGUAGCGGGGGAUAACUAUUGGAAACGAUAGCUAAUACCGCAUAACAUUGACUAUUGCAUGAUAGUCAAUUGAAAGGUGCAAAUGCACCACUACCAGAUGGACCUGCGUUGUAUUAGCUAGUUGGUGGGGUAACGGCUCACCAAGGCAACGAUACAUAGCCGACCUGAGAGGGUGAUCGGCCACACUGGGACUGAGACACGGCCCAGACUCCUACGGGAGGCAGCAGUAGGGAAUCUUCGGCAAUGGACGGAAGUCUGACCGAGCAACGCCGCGUGAGUGAAGAAGGUUUUCGGAUCGUAAAGCUCUGUUGUAAGAGAAGAACGAGUGGAGAGGGAAAGUUCACACUGG